GCCCGCGUGGCCUAAUGGAUAAGGCGUAUGACUUCUAAUCAUAAGAUUGUCGGUUCGAUCCCGGCCGUGGGCU
RNAcentral lists this transfer RNA (73 nucleotides) under Pristionchus pacificus. RNAcentral's name for it is "tRNA-Arg (TCT) (tRNA-Arg-TCT-3-1)". It matches the Rfam family "tRNA". From Rfam's summary of the family: Transfer RNA (tRNA) molecules are approximately 80 nucleotides in length. Their secondary structure includes four short double-helical elements and three loops (D, anti-codon, and T loops). Lineage: Eukaryota; Metazoa; Nematoda; Chromadorea; Rhabditida; Neodiplogasteridae. The record is from Rfam by way of RNAcentral.